This 495-nucleotide ribosomal RNA is filed under the name uncultured bacterium. RNAcentral describes it as "bacterial SSU rRNA". It matches the Rfam family "Bacterial small subunit ribosomal RNA", at positions 15 to 507 of the family's 1533-position model. The record is from RNAcentral.
GAUCAUGGCUCAGAAUGAACGCUGGCGGCGUGCCUAACACAUGCAAGUCGAGCGAGAAAGUCUCUUCGGAGAUAAGUACAGCGGCGGACGGGUGAGUAACGCGUGAGUAAUUUACCCUUUAGUGAAGAAUACCUCUGAGAAAUCAGGGUUAAUACUGCAUACGUCCCUACGGGGAGAAAGGUGGCCUCUUUGCUGCCGCUAAAGGAUAAGCUUGCGUACUAUUAGCUAGUUGGUGAGGUAAAGGCUCACCAAGGCGAUGAUGGUUAGCCGGCCUGAGAGGGUGUACGGCCACACUGGAACUUAGACACGGUCCAGACUCCUACGGGAGGCAGCAGUGAGGAAUAUUGCGCAAUGGGCGAAAGCCUGACGCAGCGACGCCGCGUGGAGGAUGAAGGUCUUCGGAUUGUAAACUCCUGUUAAGUGGGAAGAAAGACCUAUUUCUAAUACAGAUAGGGGAUGACGGUACCAUUAGAGAAAGCACCGGCUAACUUCGUG